RNAcentral lists this ribosomal RNA (156 nucleotides) under Arachnopeziza aurata. It matches the Rfam family "5.8S ribosomal RNA". Rfam says of the family: 5.8S ribosomal RNA (5.8S rRNA) is a component of the large subunit of the eukaryotic ribosome. It is transcribed by RNA polymerase I as part of the 45S precursor that also contains 18S and 28S rRNA. Lineage: Eukaryota; Fungi; Ascomycota; Leotiomycetes; Helotiales; Arachnopezizaceae. The record is from RNAcentral.
AAACUUUCAACAACGGAUCUCUUGGUUCUGGCAUCGAUGAAGAACGCACGAAAUGCGAUAAGUAAUGUGAAUUGCAGAAUUCAGUGAAUCAUCGAAUCUUUGAACGCACAUUGCGCCCUCUGGUAUUCCGGGGGGCAUGCCUGUUCGAGCGUCAUU